Molecule: RNA transcript, 1556 nt
Organism: Corticium candelabrum
Lineage: Eukaryota; Metazoa; Porifera; Homoscleromorpha; Homosclerophorida; Plakinidae
Exons: 5
Source: RefSeq, a predicted model, not a curated record
GUGUGUGUGUGUGUGUGUGUGUGUGUGUGUGUGUGUGUGUGUCUGUAAGACGAAGAAGUCUUUCACAAUUUGACAGACCCUGAAGAAGGGAGGUACGUAGAAGGAGUGACAGAAAGCAGGAAGAGAGUCAAUAGAAGGUUUACACAAGCUGGGAUAUUUAUGCAGCACGGUAUCCUGUGGUACAACGAAGAGAAAGAAGCAAAUAAACGACAAUGGAUUGCAAACUUUGAAAGACAACAACAGAUACUGCAGUCAAUCCAUGAUGACACUCUAGGCGGCUGUCAACUUGGAAGAGACAAGACUCGCGAAAAAAAGAUAUUUUUGGCAUGGUGUGGGAGAGGACGUGGAUUGCACAUCAAAACACGUGCAACGUGUCAAAAGACAAAUAUGAAAUUUAAGAAGACGUUGUCAGAACUCAAACCAAUCAAAGUGCUAAGACCAUGGCAUAGAAUUGGGAUUGACCUUGUUGGUUCACUGCCUGUUAGUGCUUUUGGUCACAAGUAUAUUAUGACUUGCAUUGUCUACUACACCAAAUGAGCAGAGGCUGGUGCUCUGUGUACUAAAUCUGCAUCUGGAGUAACUCAAUUUCUUACUACAUUGUUCUGUCGGCACGUACUGUUUGUUCACAUAAUGUCUGACCAAGGAAGAGAGUUUGUAAACAGUCUGAAUGGAAUGUUGUUCAAGCUGACUCGAGUGAAUCACAUUAUAUCUGCAGCCUAUCAUCCACAAACAAAUGGCCUUGUUGAAGAGUUCAAUAAAACCCUUCAGAGGUCACUUCUAAAAAUUGUUAGAUCGAAUCAAGGCGACUGGUGCAAGUAUUUGGAACAAGUUGUUUUUGCCUACAAUACGAGUAAACAAGCCUAACUAAGCACUCUCCAUUCUUUUGCUCUAUGGUCGAGAGCCAAGACUUCCAGUUCAUUUACUUACAGAGACAAAAGUCGUGAAAUACAUACUGCCAUACAAACUGACAGUAAGGAGGAAGUAGAGUCACAGUCGGAAAAGGAGUUAUAUACAAAGAGACCUAAAGUGUACACUCUUUAUUUUUAUACACAAAUCUCAAUAAAGUGUUCUUGCAGCUAUUAAUUGCACAACCAAGGAAAUAGAGACAACACUGAAAAAAUUGGAGUCAACAUGUGUCAUACAGACAUUGUUGGACGUGUGCCCAUCGAGGAGAGCACAAGACAGUGGCGGCACUUCACUAUUGGAGCAAAGUUUUCAUGGCCUAUUAUUAAAAAAGUACUAAAUUAUUUUUGAAAACGGUACUUUUCAAAACCUUGCAAUGCAAGGUACAUGGACCCAAAAGACAUUGACAAUUUCGAUAAAUUUAUGGGGAACCAGGAGACUAGAUUUAUUGUGUCAAAUCAAGACUUGCUGCCUAGAAAGUCUUGGCCUACAAUCAUUUAGGCACUUGUGCGACAGAUGACAUGGCAGCCAAGUUGAAACCGAUUCAUCCCUACAAUCAAUCAUGACAGACAAUGCUUUGUGCGAUAGACUGAGAAGUGUGUGAGUCAAUGUAGCUAUGGUGCUGAAGUAAAUACUACAAUAAAAAGAUGUGA